Molecule: long non-coding RNA, 1456 nt
Filed under: Anser brachyrhynchus (Pink-footed goose)
Lineage: Eukaryota; Metazoa; Chordata; Aves; Anseriformes; Anatidae
Description: lncRNA (ENSABRG00000015468.1)
Source: RNAcentral
GAACAGUUUUAGGAAUGGGAGAAAAGUUACUGAUAAACAUUUUGGUCUGGCUGAGGAGGUAAAGUUUCUGUUUCAGGGCAUUUCAGUCCAUCACAACAGUUGCUUAAGGGUCACCAGAAUUCAGUGGAAAUCAGAUCCAAGAGAAAUCAAGACUGUGCAUGUCCCUUUGCUCAUGCUUGGCCCAAAUAAGUUCAGCUACUAGAGGAAACAGCAGCAAAUCAUACCCUUGCCUGCUAAAGGCAAUUGAGUUGCUGGAGCUAACAGCUGUCACCAAAGGCUUGGUUACAAAUGCUCUGUUGAUUGUAAAAAUGCCCACAAAGAACCGUCAAGUGGUUGAAACAAAGUCAUUCAAACUUUCCAUCAAAGUUAAAUGUGCUCGCAGUUUCACUCACCCACAGGACCGGCCGGGUGAAACCUGCCUGAAGCAGCAGGUCCAAGCAGCACUAAAGAGAGCAGACACAGGGGCGCUACUUUCUUCCAACUGGCAGGAGCUCACUGGCAGCACCAGCAGCAGCACCAUAUUCUGAGCUGCAAACUACUACUGGUAAGAUAAGAGGUCAGCUGCAGCUGUAGAAAUCAGUGCAUUCUCCCAGCACCUUCUGUACUUCUCUCUUCAUGUCCUUGGAGAACACUGUCCAUUGUAGUAGUAACACGAUGUUUACAUGACAAUUACUUGUAGAUCUCAAAGCUCUUCACAAGAGGCAACAAAUAUAUUAUCCUGUUUUCAAGAUAUGGAAAUGAAGUGACUUAAGGAGAAUCAGUGGUUAUUGCAGGAAAACAAUCCAGGUUUCUUGAGUUGUAGUCAAGAUGCUUUUACUGUCAUAAUAUUUGUUAAAGCGUUUCAGACAAUUGUAUAUGGAUUUGAGCACAAAAACUUACUUAACACACGGGCACAUGCCUAUACUGUUUACCUCAAGAAAAAGGGUGAAUUUUCUCCUAUGCGCUCAUUAACAAUAUAUAAUUAUUGUUGUAAAAUGCAGUAGUACAUAAAUAUAAAUUGUAUAGACAAAUUUCCACCUCUUAAAAACUUCAGACGCUAUUAAAAUAAGUCCUACCCUUGCACUGGUAUUCGAUCAAAAAAGGAUCAGGGAGAGGUUACUUCAAGACAAAAACAUUUUCAAAUAACUCUAUAAAAGAGAAAAGGUAAAAUACAUAGCCCCAAACAUACAGCUCUUUAAGAGUUUAAGAUAGCUUCAUUCACAAUAUUUCUCCUGAAGAUAAAGUGUGCUUUUACAUUGUCUUCAAUGUCUUUGAUUGCAAAAUAUCAGUACAGAUUUUAGAAAAAGUCUGUCUCAUUAAUAGUCAAAUGUUAGAUAUUGGAAUGAAAGCUUCAAUGAUGCUAGCACUCCAGAGUAAUAGAAAUGUUUUUAUAGCAGUACGGAAUACCAAGAUCGGUGAUUUCUGUACGGUUUUGUAAACCAUAACAAAAUUUAACAAACUGCCAAAAGGAAAGCUG